GAUGAACGCUGGCGGCGUGCCUAAUACAUGCAAGUCGAGCGAAUGGAUUAAGAGCUUGCUCUUAUGAAGUUAGCGGCGGACGGGUGAGUAACACGUGGGUAACCUGCCCAUAAGACUGGGAUAACUCCGGGAAACCGGGGCUAAUACCGGAUAACAUUUUGAACCGCAUGGUUCGAAAUUGAAAGGAGGCUUCGGCUGUCACUUAUGGAUGGACCCGCGUCGAAUUAGCUAGUUGGUGAGGUAACGGCUCACCAAGGCAACGAUGCGGAGCCGACCUGAGAGGGUGAGCGGCCACACUGGGACUGAGACACGGCCCAGACUCCUACGGGAGGCAGCAGUAGGGAAUCUUCCGCAAUGGACGAAAGUCUGACGGAGCAACGCCGCGUGAGUGAUGAAGGCUUUCGGGUCGUAAAACUCUGUUGUUAGGGAAGAACAAGUGCUAGUUGAAUAAGCUGGCACCUUGACGGUACCUAACCAGAAAGCCACGGCUAACUACGUGCCAGCAGCCGCAGUAA
This 515-nucleotide ribosomal RNA is filed under the name uncultured bacterium. Its description in RNAcentral is "partial 16S ribosomal RNA". It matches the Rfam family "Bacterial small subunit ribosomal RNA", at positions 28 to 523 of the family's 1533-position model. The record is from RNAcentral.